GUAGGAGAACCUGCGGCUGGAUCACCUCCUUU
RNAcentral lists this ribosomal RNA (32 nucleotides) under Lacticaseibacillus casei. RNAcentral's name for it is "Lactobacillus casei partial 16S rRNA". Lineage: Bacteria; Bacillati; Bacillota; Bacilli; Lactobacillales; Lactobacillaceae. The record is from RNAcentral. RNAcentral also lists the same sequence under 4 other names.